CAUUUCUGCUUACAACACACUCUCGUAGUUAUGCACUUUUAGAUUUAAAUUUGUUCACAUUUUUCCCACAAUUCUAUACUUUAUAGCUUCGUCACCCUCUUGGUGUCGGCCAACACAACUCGAUUUGUAGUCUAAGUGGACUUUUCGGGUCGGGGUGUGUCAUUUUAUGUUUCUGAAAAUGAUCCUAUCAAAUAUUUUUAUUUUUUCUUUGAAUUACUCGUGUGUGUGUGUGUGUAUAUCCUAUGCAUUUCGUGACGAUAUUGUAAGGGAGGUCCUACGGAAGAAUAGUUCGAUGCUAGGAUGAUUAGGUCCCUUGACUUGCCAAAUGGUUUCUGGUAUACCUAUAUAGGUCGUUAGGGAUGCAAUACAAACUUAUUUAAGAUUAAAAUUUGAAAUAUUUUAUGAAUGUGUACAUUUAAGAUUAAAAUUUUGAAAAAUAGAUUUAUAAAAAAUUAAUAAGUACAAACUUAUUUGAAUUUUGAAAAUGUUUUGAAUUGAAAAGUAAUUAGGAGUUUAAUGAAGGUAUGAGUAUUAAAACCAUAAAUCAAUUUCUAUUUUCUAUUUUUAAUAAUUAUGUUAUUGACUCAUUAGUACAUUAAUAAGAGGGACUUUGAUUAAAAUUUAACAACUAAUAAGGUCUCAGUCAAUAAAUAUUAGUAAAUAGAGACCGGAUACUAAUUUUUCCAAAAUUAAAUAUUGUGCAUCAUUCUUCAUGCUCACAGUUAUAUCUCAAUUUCUUCUACAUCCAUAACAAGUAAAUUGUCUCAAUUUUUCUUCGACCCCCGUCACUGAUUAAUCAUGUUGACUAAUUUAUGUUGCAGG
This 822-nucleotide long non-coding RNA is filed under the name Malus domestica (apple). RNAcentral describes it as "long non-coding RNA (MDOM_LNC006260)". The record is from RNAcentral. Lineage: Eukaryota; Viridiplantae; Streptophyta; Magnoliopsida; Rosales; Rosaceae.